AGGAAAGUCUAGUAUAAGCAUUAUACCGUGAAACUGCGAAUGGCUCAUUAAAUCAGUUAUCGUUUAUUUGAUAGUACCUUACUACUUGGAUAACCGUGGUAAUUCUAGAGCUAAUACAUGCUGAAAACCCCGACUUCGGAAGGGGUGUAUUUAUUAGAUAAAAAACCAACGCCCUCCGGGGCUCCUUGGUGAUUCAUGAUAACUUCUCAGAUCGCAUGGCCUUGCGCCGGCGACGGUUCAUUCAAAUUUCUGCCCUAUCAACUUUCGAUGGUAAGGUAUUGGCUUACCAUGGUUUCGACGGGUAACGGGGAAUUAGGGUUCGAUUCCGGAGAGCGAGCCUGAGAGACGGCUAGCACAUCCAAGGAAGGCAGCAGGCGCGCAAAUUACACAAUGGCAACCUUGCCGAUGUAGUGACAAUACAUACUGAUACAGGGCUCUUUUGGGUCUUGUAAUUGGAAUGAGUACAAUUUAAACCUCUUAACGAGGAACAAUUGGAGGGCAAGUCUGGUGCCAGCAGCCGCGGUAAUUCCAGCUCCAAUAGCGUAUAUUAAAGUUGUUGCAGUUAAAAAGCUCGUAGUUGAACCUUUGGCCUGGCUGGCGGGUCUGCCUCACCGCAUGCACUCGUCCGGCCGGGCCUUCUCUUCUGGAGAAUCGCAUGCCCUUCACUGGGUGUGUUGAGGACCAGGACUUUUACUUUGAAAAAAUUAGAGUGUUCAAAGCAGGCCUUUGCUCGAAUACGUUAGCAUGGAAUAAUAGAAUAGGACGUGCGGUCCUAUUUUGUUGGUUUCUAGGACCGCCGUAAUGAUUAAUAGGGACAGUCGGGGGCAUCAGUAUUCAAUUGUCAGAGGUGAAAUUCUUGGAUUUAUUGAAGACUAACUACUGCGAAAGCAUUUGCCAAGGAUGUUUUCAUUAAUCAGUGAACGAAAGUUAGGGGAUCGAAGACGAUAAAUCUGGUCGUCGAGAGUGGCCGCGAGAGCGGUCGCUAGUCGCCCACCCACGGGUUGGUCGGCAACAUCAUCAAAUUGCG
RNAcentral lists this ribosomal RNA (1027 nucleotides) under Pseudomonodictys aquatica. Its description in RNAcentral is "SSU rRNA". It matches the Rfam family "Eukaryotic small subunit ribosomal RNA", at positions 51 to 1017 of the family's 1831-position model. Lineage: Eukaryota; Fungi; Ascomycota; Dothideomycetes; Pleosporales; Parabambusicolaceae. The record is from RNAcentral.